RNAcentral lists this non-coding RNA (21 nucleotides) under Caenorhabditis elegans. The record is from RNAcentral. Lineage: Eukaryota; Metazoa; Nematoda; Chromadorea; Rhabditida; Rhabditidae.
UUCCUUCCAUUAUUUUCGCUG